This 460-nucleotide ribosomal RNA is filed under the name uncultured bacterium. Its description in RNAcentral is "partial 16S ribosomal RNA". It matches the Rfam family "Bacterial small subunit ribosomal RNA", at positions 338 to 795 of the family's 1533-position model. The record is from RNAcentral.
CCUACGGGAGGCAGCAGUGAGGAAUAUUGGUCAAUGGGCGCGAGCCUGAACCAGCCAAGUCGCGUGAGGGAUGACUGCCCUACGGGUUGUAAACCUCUUUUGCCGGGGAGCAACGGGCGCCACGUGUGGCGCCACUGAGAGUACCUGGAGAAAAAGCAUCGGCUAACUCCGUGCCAGCAGCCGCGGUAAUACGGGGGAUGCGAGCGUUAUCCGGAUUUAUUGGGUUUAAAGGGUGCGUAGGCGGAUCGUUAAGUCAGUGGGAAAAGUGAGGGGCUCAACCCCUUCCCGCCAUUGAAACUGGCGGUCUGGAGUGGGAGAGAAGUAUGCGGAAUGCGUGGUGUAGCGGUGAAAUGCAUAGAUAUCACGCAGAACCCCGAUUGCGAAGGCAGCAUGCCGGCUUCCGACUGACGCUGAAGCACGAAAGCGUGGGGAUCGAACAGGAUUAGAUACCCGAGUAGUC